RNAcentral lists this unclassified non-coding RNA (405 nucleotides) under uncultured Multiclavula. RNAcentral's name for it is "sequence contains ITS1". The stretch from base 1 to 103 matches the Rfam family "5.8S ribosomal RNA", at positions 50 to 154 of the family's 154-position model. The record is from RNAcentral. Lineage: Eukaryota; Fungi; Basidiomycota; Agaricomycetes; Cantharellales; Hydnaceae.
GAAAUGCGAUACGUAGUGUGAAUUGCAGAAUUCAGUGAAUCAUCGAAAUCUUGAACGCACCUUGCGCUUGUGGUCACCCACAAGCAUGCCUGUUUGAGUGUCGUUUAUCUUCUCACCAAUAAAAAACUUGCUUUUUUAGCUGGUGGAACUGAGCAUUUGUCCGCAACAGGACAAUUGCUUGAAAUGGAGGGGGGACUUUGAAGGCGGCACUGAGUGCUUACCACGGCUCCGCGGACCUCCUGGAUGUGCUAACAUGCCUGUCAUGAUUCUCAUCCGAUUGGACUGCAACAAGGAGCUGAGGUCCUCAGCUUUGUCCCUUUGCCCCAAACCAAAAGGAGCAAUUCACUUGCUCCCCAACUUCAAAUCUGCGACCUCAAAUCAGGUAGGGCUACCCGCUGAAUUUAA